This 256-nucleotide ribosomal RNA is filed under the name uncultured bacterium. RNAcentral's name for it is "partial 16S ribosomal RNA". It matches the Rfam family "Bacterial small subunit ribosomal RNA", at positions 524 to 777 of the family's 1533-position model. The record is from RNAcentral.
UACAGAGGGGGCAAGCGUUAUUCGGAAUUAUUGGGCGUAAAGGGCGCGUAGGCGGCUUGGGCAAGUGGAUGGUGAAAUCCCUCGGCUUAACCGAGGAACUGCCGUCCAAACUGCUUUGCUUGAGGCCGGGAGAGGCGAGUGGAAUUCCCAGUGUAGCGGUGAAAUGCGUAGAUAUUGGGAGGAACACCAGUGGCGAAGGCGGCUCGCUGGACCGGUUCUGACGCUGAUGCGCGAAAAGCGUGGGGAGCAAACGGGG